AAGGCUUUAAGUUAAAAAAAACUAAUAGCCUUCAAAGCUAUAAAUAAAGGCACAAAUUCUUUAAGCCUUA
This 70-nucleotide transfer RNA is filed under the name Amphinemura yao. RNAcentral describes it as "tRNA-Trp". It matches the Rfam family "tRNA". Rfam says of the family: Transfer RNA (tRNA) molecules are approximately 80 nucleotides in length. Their secondary structure includes four short double-helical elements and three loops (D, anti-codon, and T loops). The record is from RNAcentral. Lineage: Eukaryota; Metazoa; Arthropoda; Insecta; Plecoptera; Nemouridae.